RNAcentral lists this ribosomal RNA (494 nucleotides) under uncultured bacterium. RNAcentral's name for it is "partial 16S ribosomal RNA". It matches the Rfam family "Bacterial small subunit ribosomal RNA", at positions 28 to 507 of the family's 1533-position model. The record is from RNAcentral.
GACGAACGCUGGCGGCGUGCCUAAUACAUGCAAGUAGAACGCUGAAGGAGGAGCUUGCUUCUCCGGAUGAGUUGCGAACGGGUGAGUAACGCGUAGGUAACCUGCCUGGUAGCGGGGGAUAACUAUUGGAAACGAUAGCUAAUACCGCAUAAGAGUAGAUGUCGCAUGACAUUUGCUUAAAAGGUGCAACUGCACCACUACCAGAUGGACCUGCGUUGUAUUAGCUAGUUGGUGAGGAACGGCUCACCAAGGCAACGAUACAUAGCCGACCUGAGAGGGUGAUCGGCCACACUGGGACUGAGACACGGCCCAGACUCCUACGGGAGGCAGCAGUAGGGAAUCUUCGGCAAUGGACGGAAGUCUGACCGAGCAACGCCGCGUGAGUGAAGAAGGUUUUCGGAUCGUAAAGCUCUGUUGUAAGAGAAGAACGAGUGUGAGAGUGGAAAGUUCACACUGUGACGGUAUCUUACCAGAAAGGGACGGCUAACUACGUG